GACGAACGCUGGUGGCGUGCUUAACACAUGCAAGUCGAACGAUGAAGCCGGAGCUUGCUCUGGUGAAUUAGUGGCGAACGGGUGAGUAACACGUGAGUAACCUGCCCUUGACUCUGGGAUAACUGCGGGAAACUGUAGCUAAUACCGGAUACGACCCUCGGAGGCAUCUCCUGGGGGUGGCAAGACUUUCGGUCAAGGAUGGACUCGCGGCCUAGCAGCUAGUUGGGGAGGUAAAGGCUCACCAAGGCGAGGAGGGGGAGCCGGCCUGAGAGGGUGACCGGCCACACUGGGACUGAGACACGGCCCAGACUCCUACGGGAGGCAGCAGUGGGGAAUAUUGCACAAUGGGCGCAAGCCUGAUGCAGCAACGCCGCGUGAGGGAUGACGGCCUUCGGGUUGUAAACCUCUUUUAGCAGGGAAGAAGCGAAAGUGACGGUACCUGCAGAAAAAGCACCGGCUAACUACGUGCCAGCAGCCGCCGUAA
Molecule: ribosomal RNA, 484 nt
Filed under: uncultured bacterium
Lineage: Bacteria
Description: partial 16S ribosomal RNA
Rfam family: Bacterial small subunit ribosomal RNA
Source: RNAcentral